GGACGAUACUGAUAACGAGGAGACUUCAAGGUCUUCAUGGUUGAUUGUAGUGAUUUUUAAAUUUAUUUUGAAAGCUAUAAUGUGGAUGAGGAAUGUUAUCCUUUUACUUCAACCGGAUUGUGAGGAGCGACUUAGUCCCACGAGGCUCCAUUCACAUGUUCAGUCAGUCAGAUGAGUCGGAGAGACAGACAUGAAGGACCCGCAUCUUCCAGCCAUCAAAGCCCGUCUAUGGCCCAAGCAGAAAGUGAGCAAGAAUUCCAAAGGUGAGGCUCCAGUGGUGGAAAAGACAGCCAAGAAGCCCCCGGCGUCUGCUGCCCGAUGUGCCGUCCCACAGUUGACCGAAGCGGAGAGGAUGAUGCAGUCGCCGUUUGAGAGGGUCGUCUACGACAUGGCCCACAACGAGAGGAUCGUCAACGAGCUGAUGCUCGGUCGAAGAGUUGGCUUCUACGAGCUGCGUGGAGAGAUCGGGCAGGGAAACUUCUCCACGGUCAGGUUGGGCAUCCAUGCCUUGACGAAAGGUCAGAAAUCUUAAGUUAUUUAUGUGGUUUUACAUAAUUUGCACGUUGUUUUCUCCUUUAAAAACAUAACAAGCAGUUUCCUUAUGGCAUCAAAUUGAAUCCUCACCUCAACCGGGACAAACGACAUUGUUUAAAGA
This 655-nucleotide long non-coding RNA is filed under the name Cottoperca gobio. RNAcentral's name for it is "lncRNA (ENSCGOG00000003883.1)". The record is from RNAcentral. Lineage: Eukaryota; Metazoa; Chordata; Actinopteri; Perciformes; Bovichtidae.